RNAcentral lists this long non-coding RNA (227 nucleotides) under Brassica napus (rape). RNAcentral describes it as "long non-coding RNA (BNAP_LNC012423)". The record is from RNAcentral. Lineage: Eukaryota; Viridiplantae; Streptophyta; Magnoliopsida; Brassicales; Brassicaceae.
CCAAAGGUGGAUCAUUGAAUAUAGUUAAUAAUAUGAAAAGGAUUACUCAUUUCUUUUACUAUAGUUGAUCGUAUUUAUACCCAAAGGUAGGAUACUAUUAACUUGAAUCUGAAAUGAUUAAUCAUUAAAGUCUAUUCUAGCAUCACUGAAAGUGUAUGUGUUUAAGUAUUGCCCAAAGGUUGCUUAAAUACAAAUUUGAAAGUUUAUAUUAAGUUUAGAAUCUGAAA